Trachemys scripta elegans is the source of this 7184-nucleotide long non-coding RNA. RefSeq lists it as uncharacterized. The record is from RefSeq and is a predicted model, not a curated record. The transcript has 3 exons. Lineage: Eukaryota; Metazoa; Chordata; Testudines; Emydidae.
GUUUUAUGAAUGAAUAUUGUUUCAUUCAUAAAACUUUACUUAUGACGUUACAUUAAUAAAGUAAACAAUUAAAAACAAUUUCAUUCAUCAGUUCUGCAUGGUACCAUGGCAAGUUUUUAAUGUGCUCUGUUGUAACCAGCCUCUUUCCCUUCAGGGUAUCCAAGGAUCAGCUGACUCGGGUUCUCCGGGAAGCUUGGGGCUGGGAUGUAGAGGGUGCCAGUCCGAGGGUUGGGGGUGGGGCAGGAGUUGACGUGGAAGUCCAAAAGAAAAUAAGCGAAUCAUGAAAGUUUAGGAUUAGCAGCAAUAGCAUAGUCACACACAUAAACCAAAUGGAAGACGUGAGCCAUUUUCAGACUUGAGCAGACUCCUUAAUUCUGUCGGCUGGGUCUGUCAUAGUUACUUGGUUGUACCUGCGGGCGCUUGGCUCUCCACAGGAUUUUUAGAAGGCUUUAUUUUGGCCUUUUGUUUUCUUCCUCUCAAUAAGUAGCCAGGGCUUUUAAGGGAGAGGUCUUGGGCCACCUCCGCAGCUUCCCACGGUUCUUCAGGGCCAAGGAGUGGAGGUGAGAUUCUCGUGUCCACUGGGGCCUGGACUCGCUUGCACUGGGAAGAGUGGAUCCAGUUGAGCAGGUUGUGGCACUUGACAAUGGUGUGGGUGGUUAGCAAUAUCUGGAACGGGCCUUUGCAGCAAGGUUCCAAGCAGUUCAUUGAUAUUUUUUGAUGUAUACCCACUCUCCUGGUUGCCAGUCAUGACAGGAGGAGUCCACUGGAGCAGGGAAGGCACACUGAACCUCUUUGUGUAAAGACUUAAUACAUUGCAUGAGUUUUUUACAAUAUGCCAGGACCCUCUCAUCUGUCAGCUGUGUAUCUAGGUACCUGGGUGUGAUAGGAGGGGCCGCUGGUAUUCUCAUUGGCCUACCCAUUAAAAUUUCAUGGGGGGAAAGACCAUGUUUGCGAGCAGGGAUGCUCCUCAUUUCCAUUAGGGCCAGGGGUAAAGCGACGGGCCACUUAAGGUUGGUUUCUGAACACAUUUUAGCAAUUUUGUGUUUUAGCACCCCUUUUACCCGUUCCACUGCCCCAGCACUUUGGAGGUGGUGAGCGCAGUGAAAGUGCUGAGUGAUUCUUAGUGCCUUGCAGAUUUGCUGCACGACUUGGCCUGUGAAAUGAGUACCCGAUCACUGUUGAUAGAAAGGGGCAGUCCAAACUGCGGAAUGAAUUCAUGUAGCAGUUUCUUUGCCACCGUCAGGGAGUUGGCUGUGGCACAGGGGUAAGCCUCAACCCACCCUGAGAAUCUACAUACACCACUACGUAUUCGAACGGGCAGCAUUUAGGCAUGCUGAUAAAGUCAAUUUGUAUAUUAACAAAAGGGCCUCCUGGGGAGGGAUGGGCUGCAGGCUUGGUUUUCACAGGCUUUCCCACAUAUGAGCAAGGCACACCGGGCAGGUGUCGCAAUACUGUCGGGCCAUUGCUGCAAAAUGCGGGGCAAACCAAUGCUGUUCAAUUGAUAGUAUCAUUCCCCUGCUCCCUACAUGGGUUAGCCUGUGGGCCAGGCGGGCCAAAUAAGGGAGCAAGCCUCUAGGUGCUACCGGGCGACCAUCCGGAGUGCGCUGUACGCUGUCGGGAGACUUUUCACAACCCACUGUUCUCCCGUAGUCCUUUUCCACCUUUUCUGCCGACUCCUGCAUGUCCCCCAACUCUCGUAUGAGGGUUGGGGGCAUGUCAGGAGAAGGUGAGUCAACAAGGGUCAGGACUAGGUCGGAGCUAGCUAGGGCUAUAUAACAAAUGGCAGAAAAUUCAGCCGGAGACCCAGAAAGGGCCGCUUGCUUGGCUGAUCCGUCAGCCAGAGCAUUUCCUUCUGUGACCUCAUCACAAGGAGUUUGAUGGGCAGUGCAUUUUAUAAUGGCUAUUUCAGAAGGGAAUAAAAGAGCAGUAAGAAGUGCAUCAACAUAAGACCCAUUUCGGAUGGGAGUCCCUGCAGAAGUGAGGAACCCUCGGUACUUCCAGAGUUUCCCAUAAUCGUGCACUACCCCGAAGGCAUAGCGGGAAUCAGUGUAGAUGUUAACAGACCGUUUUUCCACUAGGGAGCAGGCACGGGUAAGGCAAUCUACUCAGCGACUUGGGCCGAGUUCACCCCUGGAAGGGAGUGAGCUUCCACUAAGUCGUGGGGUGAGCAUAUAGCAUACCCUGCUACAAGGAUACCCUUGGGGUCCCUUAAACAGGAUCCAUCAACAAAAUAUACUAGUUCAGCGUUAGGUAAAGGGGUCUCUUUUAAAUCUACUUGGGGAGAGCAUAAUUCAGCAGUCACCGCUUGGCAGUCAUGCGGCUCCCCAUCCCAAACAGUUGGGAGUAGAGAAGCCAGGUUGAGAACAGGGCAACGGGCUAGGGUCACAGGAGCAUUUUGAAGCAACAUUUCAUAUUUAGUCAAGCGAGAAUUGGACAUGUGUUGGGUCGCUCCUUUUAGGAGGAGUAGGGUUACAGCAUGGGGGACCGACACAAGGAGAGGGGACCCCAAAAUGAGUGCGGCUGAAGUGUCCACCAUAAUUGCCACUGCAGCAAGACACGGGGGCAGUCCUGCCACCCCCGGUCUAGAGGGGUGCUAUAAUAAGCGACAGGCCAUUGGGAGUCCCCGUGUUCGUGAGUCAACACCCCCGGUGCUAUUCCAUCCUUCUGACAAAAGAGGGUGAAGGUUUUAGAGUAAUCGCGUAUGCCCAAGGCUGGGGCGCUGGCCAAUUGUUCUUUAAGAGUUUUGAAAGUGGUUUCAGCUGUUUGGGUCUAGGGGAGGGAUUCCGGCACAUCCUUGUGGGUUAGGUUAUGUAAAAGCUUGGCAAUAGAGACGUAUUCAGCUAUCCAUUGCCAGCAAUAGCCUGCCAUUCCAAGAAAGCCACACAGCUGCUUUUUAGUAGUGGGUCUGGGAACCUGUAGUAGUGCUUUAAUUGUAUUGUGAACAAGUGUCUCUCUCCUGCGGUCAAAUCGUGCCCUAAGUAGUGGACUCAGGGAAGACAGAGAUGCAGCUUUGAUUUGGAAGCUUUAUGUCCCCUUUCUGCCAGAGCUUGCAGCAGGAUUAGAGAAUCCACCUGACAAACCUCUAACGUUGGAGAGGCUAUCAGGAGAUUGUCCACAUAUUGUACUAAAACAUGGACCCUUUAGGAAGCGUAACAUUCUCCAGGUCCUUCCUGAGAAUCUGGGAGAAAAUGGUAGGUGAAUCCGUGUAACCUUGUGGCAGUCUGGUCCAGGUAUACUGCAGGCCCUGAAAAGUAAAGGCAAACAGAUACUGGCUUUCUGGGUGAAUGGGGAUGGAGAAAAAGGCUGAGCAUAAAUCUACUACUGUGAAGUAGGUAGCAGAGGGGGGGAUGCACGAGAGAAUGGUUGCAGGGUUGGGCACAACUGGGAACAGGGGGUGUACUACUGCAUUUACAACUCUCAGGACUUGAACAAAACGCCAUUUCCCUGUACCCGGUUUUCGGACAGGUAGGAUUGGGGUAUUACAUUCACUACUAGUUUGAACAAUAACCCCCUGUUGAAUCAGGGAGACCAAAACUGGCCUGAUCCCUUUCUAAAGCUGCAGGGGGGGGGGUAUUGUGGGAUUCUGGGAAGGGGCUUAGUCAGGUCUAACCGAAUUUUGACAGGCUGUGCCGAUUCUAUACAGCCCAAUUGAUUUGGAUGUUCCUCCCACAAAGCUGGAGGAACUUGGGCCAAUAUUUCCUUUUGAACCGGGGAGAGAUCUGGGCCUGUUGUUUUGUCGGGGGAGUGUGCCUUCAGGACCCCCAAGACCUUGUGCUGUUCGGCCUCCGAAGCCUCCAGGAACACCCCUUUAGGAGUACAGAAGAUAGAACAGUUUAAUUUACAUAACAGAUCCCUUCCCAGGAGGUUGACGGGGGAACAAGGGCUGAGGAGAAAGGCAUGUUGUUCUGUCAAAGGGCCUAUUGAUAUCAACAAUGGGGUUGACACAGGAUGGAGGAUAGGGACACUACCGACCCCCACUGCGUUAAUAACUUCCCCAGAUAAGGGAAGGGAGGGGAAUUCCUCCACUCGCAGUGUGGACCGAGAAGCUCCGAUGUCCACUAAGCACUUUACCGGGGUUUUGUUAAUGGUGCAGGUAACAUAAGGGCCAGAUUGAUCCAAGGGGAUAACUGGGGCAAUAAGGUCUCAUGACUGUCCUAUCUAUAGUCCACCUGUGCGGGUGGUUGGGGUGCAGCCAACGGGCCCUCCCACUGUGGGGCCUGGGCCCUUCCUUGCUCUCUCUAGUCCCAUCGAUUUCGAUGGGGGCAGGCCCUUUUGAUGUGUCCCUCCUCUCCACAUCCAUAGCAGUAAAAGGCUGGUGGGCGUCCGGUGGCUCCACCUGUUCGUGUCAUAGCUGCGAAGGGUAUUUCUCCCCUGGUGUUUCCUUCCCCAUACCUAUAGGGUCGAUUGGGUUCCUUCCCAUUGUACGAUUUCCUUUCUUGUAUCUUGGGGUUUAAAUUAUUGAUUUGGAGAGCCAUUAGGUGGGUCUCUGCUUCUUCCCUUUUUUUCUCGCUUUGGUGGUAAUAAUGUUGGGCUGCAGCUAGGAUUUCCUUUAAACCCUUUCCUUCCCAACCCACUAGACCCAGGCGUAAUUGUUCACUAAUUUUUGGGCGGAGCCUCUGGAUGAAAACAGCCACGAUAGCUUGCUCUUCUUGGGUUUCAGUGUUAUUAAUGCCCGAGUAUUUUUCAAAGACCAAUUUUAACCCGGUCCAAAUAAUCAGCAGGUUUAUAACAAAGGUUCCUUUGUUUACAAUUGUUUAUUUUAGUCCAAUUGGCCUUUGUUGGGCAGGCCUUAAGAAUAGCUUCUAACAAUUUUCCCCUCAUCUCAUUAAUUGUUCUCUAUCUGGUUCCACUUUGUCUGUCCACUCCAUUGUUUCAUAAAGAUGCCUCUGUGUUUCCCUGGGCAUUAUGCUUCUCAGGAAUUGGUCUAGGUCUCCCAUAGUGGGAUUAUAACAAUUUAUAACAACCUCCAACUCCUCUUUAAAGUGGAGAGGGUCAUCCCGAAUUUUUGGGAAUUUAAGGCCCAGAGUGCCCAUAUCUGUUGGGCUCCAAGGGGUAUGGACCUCCGUUACCCCACUGUCCAGUGCAGGGAGUUGUCUUAAGGGAAAAUUUCUUACCUCAUGGGAGGUCCCAAUUUUCCCAUCUGGGCUGGUUUUGAGCUUCCGUACAAGCUCCCUUCGAGCCUUACUUACAUCUCCUAAGAUAUCCUCCUCCAUUUCUCUAAAUUUACUGGGGCGGACUUCUUCCCGCCCCCCCUUUUAAUUUGUCCCAGCGGGCCACUUGCUGCCUAGUACGGUAGGCUGGGCCAGGAGAUAUGCGCAGCAUCUCAGCCAACUGGUCUGCCUGGUCGAAGAUGCAGUGCAUACAUUUCUCCAAUUCCCCAACCGGGGAACUUGGAGAGGAUACUAAGGGGAUUAUAGAUUCCGUGGGGGAAGAGGGAGCGGGCUGCUGUCCGCUCGCCUCGUCCUCAUCCUCGAACCCUGCCCCCCCAUAGUGGGGAACUUGCUGUGGCUGCUCCCCCUCUGGUUGCCCCUGGGGACCCGGGCUUGCCUAGGCAGUCUCCCAUGAUCCAAAUAAAAAUCUUUGGGGGUUGGUUAAAGGGAGGGGGUACCGUCGGGGCCCGAGGAGCUGAGGGUAUUUGUCUAACGGGGAAUGUAGGGGCAGGCAGGGGAGUUAAGGGUUUAGAUUGAACUUCCUUCAAUUGUUUUUUUGCUUCUUCUAAUUGGGCCUUAACCUUCUCAUGGGAGUUAUUUAGACUUCGUUGAAUGGACUCUCAACGUUGCUUUUCCAUUUCCCCAUACCAAUUAAAAAAUGCAUCCCACUGGGUUUGAUUUGCCUUGUAAACUAAUAAGGCGCCCCAAAGGUGCAAAAUCUUUUUAAAAUCAAAAGUCCCUUCCUCCAGGAACUGCAAACUUGGAUUAUCCCUUGUGUUCCAAUUCCACUCCUUUAAAAAUUUGCAGGUCAGGGGCCCAUAGUUGGAAUACAUAUACGCGUCUGGAGUAUCGUUUUCCGGUGCUGGGACCUGCUUCGACUGUGAGGUUCCCAUGGUCAGAUGGCUUUGCCUCAACACUCCCUAAACGAUCAAACAAGACAGUAUUAUGGUGAUAAACCCCGUAUUGCCUAACUGUUCAGUGAAUAUUAUGGCGUUAAAUCAAUUAAGCAGACCCAGCCGCUCAUAAACAGGGAAUGGCGUUUCUUUUCCCUUCACCCGGCCCCACCCCAAGCCCGACAGACUUGCAGUGCCUCUGUCAGUGCCGGGCGUAGCGAUCCGGCCAGAGAUAGCACAAUCAGAGUUCUCUCACUGAGGCACAGGUGAGCAGAUAAACAAGCAGAACCAGUCACUCGUAAACAAGGAGUGUGUCUCCCCUUCCCCCCCGCCCCCGCAGGGCGAUACAUCAAGCCCGGCAGACCUGUAGUGCCUCUGUCGGUACCAGAUGCAGCACCCCAGCCGGGGAUGACCGGAAAGGCUUGAUUCACCUUAAUUCUAUAUCCAUAUAGUGAAUUAGUUCUGGACAAUGCAACCCCCCCCUUUUUCCGUGAGUGAGGGUUAAGUACUUAAUGAAGCAAUUUGCUAGAAAAAAACCACUUCCUGACUAUUAAAAGCAAUAUUUCUCUAAAUCCUAGCCACUAGAACACUGCAGUAAGCCUUGGUCUCCUUUACAGGCGAGGCCAACUCCCCAAGCCUCCUUUACAGGUGAGGCCAACUCCCCAAGCCUCCUUUUCCAGGUGAGGCCAACUCCUCAACAUUCACACCAAUGGGGAGGAUUUAUAAGGGAGGUCUUCGCACACCCCCCUUCCAGCAAAGAGCACCAGCCCAUCUUUUAAAGGAACGGGGUAGGAUACCCUAUUGCCUCCGGUACGGUGGGCGAUUUCCAGGGACUUCCCCUCUCUCCGAGCAAGGGGAGGGAGCCCACGGCUCCAAAAGGAAGAUCUGCAAGCUUCAAAAGGAAGAUCUGGGACUACAGAAUAAAGUCCACGUUUCGCUCCAGAUCAUCCCGUCCUCCCAGGGGAAAGAAAAUGGCUGCAAUGGAGCUGGCUCAGGGGCUGGUGACUUUCGAGGAGGUGGCUGUGUAUUUCACCAGGGAAGAGUGGGCUCUGCUGCACCCCACUCAGAGAGCCUUCUACAGGGAUGUUAUGCAGGAGAACUAUGAGACGGUGGUCUUACUGGGUAAGGAUUCCCGUCCCCU